RNAcentral lists this ribosomal RNA (499 nucleotides) under uncultured bacterium. RNAcentral's name for it is "partial 16S ribosomal RNA". It matches the Rfam family "Bacterial small subunit ribosomal RNA", at positions 29 to 523 of the family's 1533-position model. The record is from RNAcentral.
AUUGAACGCUGGCGGCAUGCCUUACACAUGCAAGUCGAACGCGAAAGCGGGGCAACCCGCAAGUAGAGUGGCGAACGGGUGAGUAAUACAUCGGAACAUAUCCAGUAGCGGGGGAUAACCUGUCGAAAGAUAGGCUAAUACCGCAUACGACCUACGGGUGAAAGCGGAGGACCGCAAGGCUUCGCACUAUUGGAGUGGCCGAUGUCGGAUUAGCUAGUUGGCGGGGUAACGGCCCACCAAGGCGACGAUCCGUAGCUGGUCUGAGAGGACGACCAGCCACACGGGAACGGGGACACGGUCCAGACCCCUACGGGAGGCAGCAGUGGGGAAUUUUGGACAAUGGGCGCAAGCCUGAUCCAGCCAUGCCGCGUGAGUGAAGAAGGCCUUCGGGUUGUAAAGCUCUUUCGGCGGGAACGAAAAGGUUCGUGCUAAUACCACGGACUAAUGACGGUACCCGAAGAAGAAGCACCGGCUAACUACGUGCCAGCAGCCGCGGUAA